CAGAUAUAUUUAAGGAGGAGAUGCAAGCAGGCUCACAAAGUCUUGUUUUGCAGCAAUGGCUGGAAUGUGGCAUACACGGUCCAAGGCUCAUCUAAGGCAGAAUCAUACAUGAGAAAAAUCCAUUCAUGAAACUAAAUCAUCCUAAAGCAAAUGACACUUCAUGAAUAGAGACUAAAACCAAAGUGUGAAGGACAUUUUCCAAAUCAGUGUGAAAGUAUGCAGAAAUAGCUGGAUCUAAAUUGAAUAAGAAUUGUGUGACAAAUUGAUGAGGUACUGAGGGAAAGCCAAUUAAGACACUGAGGGGCCUAUUCUGAGAGACUGGAUGCCACAGACUGAAUCUAGAAGAAGAUUCUGCAUAAAGAAUAUUUUCUUGGAAGGUUUGGCAAAAGAAAGAGUUCUUUUAAGUGCUUUCCCGUAACUUAUUUUCUGUUCCUUGGAACUUUUCGACUUUUAGUGGUUUGGAAUGACUUGGUUCUGGUGGAUUUCAAUCAAUAUCCCUCCCUUCCUGUACUCCAUGCUUCCCCACAAUCCCCCUGUCUUGGUGGAGUAACAGGUUGAUUCUGAUUUAUCACUAACCUUCUCUAAUUCCUCUGCUGGAGAG
Molecule: long non-coding RNA, 601 nt
Filed under: Homo sapiens (human)
Lineage: Eukaryota; Metazoa; Chordata; Mammalia; Primates; Hominidae
Description: HSALNT0327265
Source: RNAcentral